Long non-coding RNA from Cottoperca gobio, 250 nucleotides. RefSeq lists it as uncharacterized. The transcript is spliced from 3 exons. The record is from RefSeq and is a predicted model, not a curated record. Lineage: Eukaryota; Metazoa; Chordata; Actinopteri; Perciformes; Bovichtidae.
CUCAAGGCAGCAGCCACUUUAAGGUACACAUUUGCGCAUGGAGAUCCGCAGAUAUUCCCAUUCCUCACUUUGAAGUAGCGAUCCUGGACCGAGGGGGCCAGAUACACACAGUUUGUCGGUUUCCAUUGAGGCGCAGGCAGACGGGGGAAAGCCGUCCUCAGUGUGUUUCAGCAACAUGCCUCCAGUACAGAAACAAGUUGAGUGUGAAAAGAAAGAAGGGGGAUCAAAGCAGAGUGGGUUUUAAAGAGGC